Euleptes europaea (tarantolino) is the source of this 137-nucleotide small nucleolar RNA. RefSeq annotates it as small nucleolar RNA SNORD10. NCBI's taxonomy places the organism in Eukaryota, Metazoa, Chordata, Lepidosauria, Squamata, Sphaerodactylidae. The transcript has a single exon. The record is from RefSeq and is a predicted model, not a curated record.
GUUCCGUGAUGAUCAACCCCAUGCGUGUCAUCUGAGCCCACAAACCCCGUUUUCCUCCCGGCCGGCGUUCUGCUGUGCUGGGGAGCGGUUGCUGGGUGUCUGGCGCAGUGAUCAUUGCUGAGAAGGUCCCUGAGAAC